RNAcentral lists this ribosomal RNA (189 nucleotides) under Candidatus Woesearchaeota archaeon. Its description in RNAcentral is "partial 23S ribosomal RNA". It matches the Rfam family "Archaeal large subunit ribosomal RNA", at positions 2696 to 2885 of the family's 2987-position model. The record is from RNAcentral. Lineage: Archaea; Nanobdellati; Candidatus Woesearchaeota.
CAGUUUGUUUGAUAUCUACUGGGAACGUGAGAUGUCUGAAGGGAAGGAUCUUCUAGUACGAGAGGAACGAAGGUUCGUGGCCUCUGGUCUAACAAUUAUCUGAUAAGGUACGUUGUGCAGCUACGCCAUAGCGGAUAAGUACUGAAAGCAUCUAAGUACGAAGCCGCCCCUGAAAAGAGAUAUCAUAGA